GGGGCAGUAGCUCAGCUGGGAGAGCACUUGACUGGCAGUCAAGAGGUCAGGGGUUCGAUCCCCCUCUGCUCCACCA
Molecule: transfer RNA, 76 nt
Filed under: bacterium
Lineage: Bacteria
Also listed under: 1 other name
Description: tRNA-Ala
Rfam family: tRNA
About the family: Transfer RNA (tRNA) molecules are approximately 80 nucleotides in length. Their secondary structure includes four short double-helical elements and three loops (D, anti-codon, and T loops). Further hydrogen bonds mediate the characteristic L-shaped molecular structure. tRNAs have two regions of fundamental functional importance: the anti-codon, which is responsible for specific mRNA codon recognition, and the 3' end, to which the tRNAs corresponding amino acid is attached (by aminoacyl-tRNA synthetases). tRNAs cope with the degeneracy of the genetic code in two manners: having more than one tRNA (with a specific anti-codon) for a particular amino acid; and 'wobble' base-pairing, i.e. permitting non-standard base-pairing at the 3rd anti-codon position.
Source: RNAcentral